This 93-nucleotide transfer RNA is filed under the name Xanthomonas sp. SS. Its description in RNAcentral is "tRNA-Arg". Lineage: Bacteria; Pseudomonadati; Pseudomonadota; Gammaproteobacteria; Lysobacterales; Lysobacteraceae. The record is from RNAcentral.
CGCGACGCUCGCGGUGCCGGCGCGGGGACGGCGGCGGGCCGUCCCGCCGCGAAACGCCUUGCGCGGCGCCGGUUCGCCGCCGCCCGCCGCGGC